RNAcentral lists this unclassified non-coding RNA (1196 nucleotides) under Hevea brasiliensis (rubber tree). Lineage: Eukaryota; Viridiplantae; Streptophyta; Magnoliopsida; Malpighiales; Euphorbiaceae. The record is from RNAcentral.
GGGAUUCAUGGGAUGAAGAAUCAUGCUUUGUGCAUCUAGGUGACAUAGGUGGGAGAUAAUGCCUGUUUGGAUCAGACAAAUUAGGAGAUAGGUGUCUGGAAGUUCUGCCUAUUAAUGGAUGAGGGAUACUGACAGGAUCAGUUUCUGAACGCAAAUGAGUCUGCACAAGAUUUGCACCUGAAAGAUAUGUGGGUGGAGAUGGUGAUGAUGAAAAUGGAGGGGAAAGUUGGUCAUCAUCAAAACUAGUUGUUUUCUGGUGAGUUGAAUAUUUGUAGUUAGGUGGAAUCCUCUGUCCAUAUACAUUACUGACUGAAGUUGAAAGCUCAUAUGGUGCAUGGUACAAAGGUGGAGAUCCUACAUAUGGCUGAGGUAAAGAAGGUGCCCUGAAGAGACCACUUGUCCAACUCUGCGGGCGCUGAACAGGUGCUGAACAAGAGGACUGUGUCCUUCUCAAUGGAAAUGAAGUAUUAUGAACACCCUUAUCUGUCGAGUUCAAAGGGAAUGACCUCAGAGGAUCAGUGAGUGGACUACCAACAUAAUCUGUAAUGAUCUCAGGUGGAAAGGAUGCAGAACUCUCCAGGUUAAAGUCCACCAGAUUUUCACGAUAUGUCACAGAUAAGGAAAGACGGCCUUGCUGGGCAUCAACUGAAGUAAAAGUAAAUUGUUUCAUCAUCUCCUCCUCUGCCCUUGAGAAUGGCUCGCUAAAUGAAGAUACCUUAAAAUUAAUAUCAAAACAACUACUCUGACUUGACGAAGAUAGUUUCCUGAAGGCCUUGAAUGCAGGCAGGAGCUUCAACAUCGAAUAAACGGAACGAAGUAGUAUGAUAGACUUCUUGUACAUUUUCUUGUAAGAGGAAUCACCCAUUUGAGGAACCAUAGACCUCCGAUUUUCACAUUGCACGACCCACCUCUCUAUAAUGGUUUCUGUAUAUGCCCCUGCAAAUGCUUUACCUGAACUGUGCUUCAAUGAAGUACAAUCUUUAUCUUGAACAAGUAUUAUAUCUAUUAUCAUUGGCUCCCCAUGCAACAGAUUCAAGUUUUCAAAAACCGCAGGACGAUCUCCCAACACCAUAUUAAACCACUUGUCACUCCUCUUCACUUCUUCAAACCCACCAUACGCUCUUAUCGAAGGAACCCUCAAGUUCAAAAUAAUAUGCAAGCUUUUUAGAAGAUAUUGAGCAAGUAUUUGCUCAAAU